GAACCCGAGAGGCGGAGCUUGCAGUGAGCCGAGAUCACGCCACUGCACUGCAGCCUGGGUGACAGAGCGAGACUCCGUCUCAAAAAAAGAAAAAAAAAAGAAAAGAAAAGAAAAGAUAAAAUUACCAGAAAAUAUUAAACAGGCAGCACUGAGGAGUAAAGGAAUAUUUGGGAGGAUCAGAAGCUUGGUCCUGAUUUUGCCAUCAACCAGGACCUUGAUGACUUCAAGGGAGUCCCCAAACCCUGGGUUUCUGUUUUCUCAACUCUAACAUGAGGGGCUAGACGCAUCUGGUUUAGUUCGUCUCCAUGAUCCUGUGAAUUUCAGAUGUUGAAAAUCUUCAGAAAAGCCCUGAAAGAUGAAGAGUCUUCACCAAACUCCUCCCUCCAGAAUAUUCCUCCAGAAUAUAAAAUGCCUCACCAACAUGAGACAACAGCAGGAAGCACCCAUUUGUAGUAAUCCUCUGUAUGGAGGAGGCUGUUACAUAACCACAAAGGCACAAAGCUGCAGUUUUGAGAACAUCUUCCCACGCCAGUUCUAAGCAUUGACCUCAACUAUGGUUGCUAACACAAGAAUCCGCACUGGUGACUUUUGAGCCAUCAAUCAUCCUUUCCUAACACAUGAUUCUUUUGGAAAAUGGUCUCAAAUAGUCAAGACCCCCUGCUGGGGGGAGCGUCUAUCCUGCUCUGUGGAAGAAAUGGGCAUGCCAGAUGCC
RNAcentral lists this non-coding RNA (712 nucleotides) under Pongo abelii (Sumatran orangutan). Lineage: Eukaryota; Metazoa; Chordata; Mammalia; Primates; Hominidae. The record is from RNAcentral.